RNAcentral lists this long non-coding RNA (1009 nucleotides) under Corvus moneduloides (New Caledonian crow). RNAcentral's name for it is "lncRNA (ENSCMUG00000019397.1)". Lineage: Eukaryota; Metazoa; Chordata; Aves; Passeriformes; Corvidae. The record is from RNAcentral.
GCUGAAGCCCAGCUCCCCCCACACUGUCAGCCUCUGCAGUUUUCCCAAACACAAUCAACAACCUGGCCUAGGGCUUAUCUACACACUUCCAAAAUUCUUCAUCUGACAACUAAUGAUGCAUUAAUCACUGUCAGACCACGAUCUUUUGUUUCUGCUUCUCUGCAGGCGUCUGUCAGGAUCACAAAGGAUUCACAUUGCACUAGCCUGGGUACAGAAGCUCAGCCCCUCUGCAGACACUCGUCGGUGUUUUGUGAUCCCUUCAGGAACCACUUCACCUGUCCUUCCCCUCCUUCACUCACUACUUGUAUUUCUAGCCCUGGAUAUCUGCUCUCUCUUGUGCAAGCACGGGUCCUUUUUCACAAGCAGCACUAGAAGAGAGGAUCACCAAAAUCCUUUUCUGCAGCAUUGUUCCUGUUUGGGUACCCUGGUUCCCGAUUCAUUUAACAGUGCUGAGAAGGUGCCUAUUCUCUCCUUCACAUCUACUUUUAUAUGGUUCACCUCUAACCUUCCAUCCACACAGCACUCUAGAGCAUGCAGUAUUCAGGAGUAUGAGACAUCCUGCUCAAAAUUAAGUGACCCUCCUCGCAAAGCCUGUGGGAUGAUGACCAAACACCAAAGCAAUCUCUGGGAGGCAUCCAAGCUCCACCUCAGCAGACGAACCAGCUGCACCACUUCUUCGAAUGAGCCCCAACAGACUGAAGUACACUCCCUCUUUUACAUCUCAGGAGCCUGGGCCCAGCUGUCCACAGGAAGUGACACCCCCAGGAGAUGGAGGGACAUCAAGGGUUCGUCUCCACAUGGAAGCUGUAAGGGUUUAUGAAUGCUGGUGCAGUGCAAAGAGCCUCUGGAGCUGGUACAGUUUGACACAGUGAAGCUGUUCCACACAGAGAGGCACAGCUGCUUCCAAAGGCAAAAGAAAUUAAGCUAUAUAAAAUGAAUUUUUAAAAUUAUAGCUUUUCCUCAAAUGCAAACUACUUCCAUGAACAGGGGUGUUGGGCCUGCAUGUCCU